CUCCCUCAAACCGCUGGGUUUGGUGUUGAGCAAUACGACUUGGGUUUGCUUGAAAGACGGUAGUGGUAAGGCGGGAUCGCUUUGACAAUGGCUUAGGUCUAACCAAAAACAUUGCUUGCGGCGGCAACGUCCACCACGUAUAUCUUCAAAC
This 151-nucleotide unclassified non-coding RNA is filed under the name Candida albicans. RNAcentral describes it as "internal transcribed sapcer 2". The record is from RNAcentral. Lineage: Eukaryota; Fungi; Ascomycota; Pichiomycetes; Serinales; Debaryomycetaceae.